GGGCCUGAGGGCUGGGGCUUGGCUUUAGAGGUGUGGGGCAUCCCGCUAUUAGCUCGUGAAGUCCACCCCGGUGUCUUGUUGGGCGUUUGGUGCCAGGAGCCCUGCACGAUGCCAAAAUCUGAGGAUCCUCAAGUCCCUUAUAUGAAAUGGCGUAGCAUUUGAGUAUAACCUACGCACAUCCUCCUGUAAUACUUUGCUUACUUGUAAUUAGGUAUUAGUUGUUAUACCUAAUAAAAUGCAUUAAGUAAAUAGUUGUAAAUACACUGCGAAUAAUAUGUACAUAGUUGCUGGUGCACGCAAAUUCAAGCUUUGCUUUUCGGAGCUUUGGAAUUUUGUUUUUGAAUAUUUCUACCUGGGGUUGGUCGAAUUUGCGGUGCGGAACCGCAGAUACGGAGGGCUGACUACUGUACAUGGUGUUUUAUCCAACAGCAGUUGGCGGGAAGAUGCUUCGAUACUGAAGGAUGGGCAACAGGCACAUGAAAAGAUAUCAUCAGGGAAAUGCAAAUCAAAACCACAAUAAUAUAUCACCUCACACCUGUGAGAAUGGCUAUAUGAAAAAGAAAAAAGGGACUUCCCUGGUGGCGCAGUGGUUAAGAAUCCAUUUGCCAAUGCAGGGGACACAGGUUUGAGCCCUGGUCCGGGAAGAUCCCACAUGCCACAGAGCAACUAAGCCCAUGCGCCACAACUACUGAGCCUGCACUCUAGAGUCCACCAGCCACAACUACUGAGCCCACGUGCCUAGAGCCCUUGCUCUGCAACAAGAGAAGCCACCACAAUGAGAAGGCGGCACACCACAGCAAGGAGUAGCCCCCGCUCGCCGCAACUAGAGAGCUAGAGAAAGCCCGCACAGCGACAAAGACCCAACGCAGCCAAAAAUAAAUAAAUAAAUAAAUA
Molecule: long non-coding RNA, 894 nt
Organism: Orcinus orca (killer whale)
Lineage: Eukaryota; Metazoa; Chordata; Mammalia; Artiodactyla; Delphinidae
Exons: 2
Source: RefSeq, a predicted model, not a curated record